CGGAGGAAGCGGGGAUGACGUCAAGUCAUCAUGGCCCUUAUGGUAGGGCUUCACACGUCAUACAAUGGUCGGUACAGAGGGUUGCCAAGCCGCGAGGUGGAGCUAAUCUCUUAAAGCCGAUCGUAGUCCGGAUCGUAGUCUGCAACUCGACUACGUGAAGUCGGAAUCGCUAGUAAUCGCAGAUCAGCAUGCUGCGGUGAAUACGUUCCCGGGUCUUGUACACACCGCCCGUCACACCAUGGGAGUGGGUUUCACCAGAAGUGGGUAGCUUAACCUUUCGGGGAUGGCGCUCACCACGGUGAGAUUCAUGACU
Molecule: ribosomal RNA, 313 nt
Filed under: uncultured Azoarcus sp.
Lineage: Bacteria; Pseudomonadati; Pseudomonadota; Betaproteobacteria; Rhodocyclales; Zoogloeaceae
Description: bacterial SSU rRNA
Rfam family: Bacterial small subunit ribosomal RNA
Source: RNAcentral